RNAcentral lists this ribosomal RNA (509 nucleotides) under uncultured bacterium. Its description in RNAcentral is "partial 16S ribosomal RNA". The stretch from base 20 to 321 matches the Rfam family "Bacterial small subunit ribosomal RNA", at positions 47 to 358 of the family's 1533-position model. The record is from RNAcentral.
GACGAACGCUGGCGGCGUGCUUAACACAUGCAAGUCGAACGGAAAGGCCCCGCUUUUGUGGGGUGCUCGAGUGGCGAACGGGUGAGUAACACGUGAGUAACCUGCCCUUGACUUUGGGAUAACUUCAGGAAACUGGGGCUAAUACCGGAUAGGAGCUCCUGCUGCAUGGUGGGGGUUGGAAAGUUUCGGCGGUUGGGGAUGGACUCGCGGCUUAUCAGCUUGUUGGUGGGGUAGUGGCUUACCAAGGCUUUGACGGGUAGCCGGCCUGAGAGGGUGACCGGCCAGGGGGGGGGGGUGGCCCGCGGCCGGACCUGCAGGGAGGGGGAGUUGGGGAGUAGGAGAGCGGCGGCGCACUCCUGUGGCGGGUACGCGGGUGGGUGCGGGAGGGCCUGGGGGUUUCACGCCGCUUCCCGCGGCGAGGAGGGGUGAGUGGCGUAAAGGGGUACAGAAGCACCAGAUCACUCCGCGCCAGCCGCGGCGGUAAUAAUCGGACAACCCCGCGUCUGAAC